AACGAACGCUGGCGGCAUGCCUAACACAUGCAAGUCGAACGAGAUCUUCGGGUCUAGUGGCGCACGGGUGCGUAACGCGUGGGAAUCUGCCCUUUGGUUCGGAAUAACAGUUGGAAACGACUGCCAAUACCGGAUGAUGACGAAAGUCCAAAGAUUUAUCGCCAGAGGAUGAGCCCGCGUAGGAUUAGCUAGUUGGUGUGGUAAAGGCGCGCCAAGGCGACGAUCCUUAGCUGGUCAGAGAGGAUGAUCAGCCACACUGGGACUGAGACACGGCCCAGACUCCUACGGGAGGCAGCAGUGGGGAAUAUUGGACAAUGGGCGAAAGCCUGAUCCAGCAAUGCCGCGUGAGUGAUGAAGGCCUUAGGGUUGUAAAGCUCUUUUACCCGGGAUGAUAAUGACAGUACCGGGAGAAUAAGCUCCGGCUAACUCCGUGCCAGCCGCCGCCGUAA
Molecule: ribosomal RNA, 449 nt
Filed under: uncultured bacterium
Lineage: Bacteria
Description: partial 16S ribosomal RNA
Rfam family: Bacterial small subunit ribosomal RNA
Source: RNAcentral